UCCGUAACAUACACAGAUACAAUUAUAAAGCAGGAAUUCAUUAAUUGAUUAAUAGAGAAUUCACCACUAGUCUUCUUUAUAUUCUCCUCCUCCUCCUUCUUGAACUAAUCUCAUCUCUCUUAAUUCCUUAUGUAGAAACAUAUUUUGGAGAGAAAUUUUCUAUGCAUUUUCUUGACAAAAGUUAGUAAACACGUCAAUUAGUUAUUCCUUUGAAGUCACAUGAAAUGCACUUAAAGAACCAUCCAUUAUUUUCUUUUUAAUGAAGUGUUGAUCAAUAUCUAUAUGUUUGGUCUGAUCAUGAUAAACUGGAUUGUGCACUAUACUAAUGGCAACUUUGUAAUCAUAGAACAAGGAUAAACCCUUUAUUUCUAACAACUUCAAUUCUUCCAUUAACUUCUGUAACCAUAAUAGCUCACAAAUGCCUUGUGCCCUAACUCUAUAUUCUGCUUUUGCACUUGAUCUUGCUAUCACAUUUUACUUUUUGCUCCUCCAAGUAACUAGGUCAUGCCCAACUAAUGUACAAUAACCUAACAAGUAAUAUGAUCUUACCUCUACAUUGUUUGAUAAAUGGGUACGUAUGAUCAGCGUUGCUUUUAUAAUAUCCAAAAGAGAUCAUGGCCUUAUUAAAUCAUUCAAGUCAUAGUCUUGGUGACUGCUUUAGACCACAAUGCCUUCUUUAAUUUACAAAUUUUCCCUUUAGUUUUUUCAUCAUCAAACCCUAGAGGAAUUUACAUAUACACCUCUUCCUCUAAGUCUCCAUGUAAGGAGGCAUUCUUAACAUCAAACUACUGGAAGUCCCGCUCAAGAUUUGUUGCACAAGACAAUAAGAUUCUAAUGUCGUUCAUCUUUACAAUAGAAGAAAAAGUCUCUUGAUAAUAUACUCCUUAUGUCUAAGUGAAGCCUUUGGAUACUAAUUUGGCCUUAUGCCUUUUGAUUGAGUUGUCUACCCUAUGUUUUACUUGUUUUAUUGUGAGCACCCAUUUGCAUCCAAGUUUCUUUCCCAAAGUACAAGUAACAAGAUCUCGUCUCAUUUUUUACCAAAGCUUUCAUCUCCUCAACCAUUGCUACCUUCCAUUUUGAAUCGAGGUAUGCUUCCUUCCAAUCUCGUGUGAAGGAAACAAAGAAUCAUAGGAAACAAAAUUGGAAAUAGGAUGUUUAGUACAAGCCUUGACAUCUGUUCUUACAACAGUGGGUGUAUCAAGGUCAUUAGUAGAGGAAUUAGGGUUAGAAUCAAGCUGUAAUAGUACCAUGCAAUUGUUCUGAUGUUCUUUUUCAUCUGCUGUAGCACUAUUCCUGAUCAGGGAACA
This 1307-nucleotide unclassified non-coding RNA is filed under the name Hevea brasiliensis (rubber tree). Lineage: Eukaryota; Viridiplantae; Streptophyta; Magnoliopsida; Malpighiales; Euphorbiaceae. The record is from RNAcentral.